RNAcentral lists this ribosomal RNA (190 nucleotides) under Enterococcus hirae. RNAcentral describes it as "partial 23S ribosomal RNA". Lineage: Bacteria; Bacillati; Bacillota; Bacilli; Lactobacillales; Enterococcaceae. The record is from RNAcentral.
AGGUUGAAGAGAGUUUUAAUAGGUUUUGGAGGAUUGAAUUUAUGUAUGUGGUAAAAUAUGGGGAUGAUUUGUGGUUAGGGGUGAAAGGUUAAUUAAGAUUGGAUAUAGUUGGUUUUUUGUGAAAUUUAUUUUAGUAGAGUGUAUGAUGUAGAUGGUUUGAGGUAGAGUAUUUAAUGGGUUAGGGUGGUUU